AUAAAAAAAAGAAUAAUAAUCGUCUGAAGUGUUUGCAGAUAAUAAAAGUAAAGGAUUGUAGAUAGACAUUGGAUUAUCUUUUAUGAGUGUUAUUCUCGAGAAUCCUGGAUCUGAAAAUCACAUACGACAGUAGACCUCACUCUUCUUCUUUCUGUCGUAUUUCUUCCGUUCAUUCGUAUUUUCGGUUGCAGAGAUGUGCAGAAGGGCAAUGUUUAUGGUCGUGCAAAAAUAGGGACAAAAAUGAAAGUACGAAAAAAAGAGAGAAAGAGAAAGAGUUCAUUCGGUAUUCCAGUCGCGAAGGAAGGUAUUCUCUCGCGUCUCUUCUCAAAUUGAUUGGCCACAUUCCUUUUCCCGUCCACAUUUCCGCCAGGCCAGAACCUCUUUCAUUUCUUUCUCUAUGUUCUCCUCGAGUCCUCUCUCUCUCUCUCUCUCUCUCUCUCUCUCUCUCUCUCUCAAUGUCUCCCUCUCUCUCUGUCUCCCUCUCUCUCAUUCUCUCUCACUCUCUCUCUCUUUCGUAGUAUGCAUUGUGCUCACAAGGAAGCGGCUUUUCGACAAUUACCGAAGCAAAACAAUGACUAAAGAAACACGAGAGAAUAGGAUACGUUAUAUUCGUUAGGGUCGACAAAAAGAGCAAACUUUUAAUCUUUAUUUUUACUCUCUUUGCUUUCUCUUAUAAAAAACGAGAUAGAGAGAAAAAGAGAAAGAGAUAGAAAAGAAAGAAAAAAUAGAGGAUAGAUAUCCCCCAUAAUUUUUUCUAAUAUUUGCCGGAGUUUCUUCUUGCAUUUAAACCAAAAAGAUUUUUCAUAUUAUAUCGGUGCAAUGAUGACAACGUUCAAAAAAAAAAAAAAAGAAGGAAAAUGUAAAAAGAAAAAAUGAAAAAAAAAGAAAUAAAAAGUUCAAUAGUAAAUGCGAAACUGAUCUUCCGUUAUGAGAAAAUAAAAAAUUACCACUGGAAGAUUACCAAGUCGCUUCUCUAAAGCAACGAGUUUUCCUGACUCGAUAGAAAACAAAAAAUUGUUCUUGGACUAGAUUCAUGUUUGGAGGAAAAAAUUUCCGUCCACCUAAAAUUUAUUCUCCCUCGCGAUGAGAUUAUGAUAUGAUUUCUCUCUUUUUCUCUCUAUUUCUUUUUUCUUUUGUUUGCUUGUUUAUUUGUAGGUUUUUUCUUUAUAUUUUUCAUUUAUAUUUUUUUUUAAUAUAAUUUCCGACGCCCGAAUAUCUGAACAGAAAUUUAUUAGCAAUCGCACUUAGCUGAUUAAUUUUUUUGCUCAAACGAUUGAAAAAAAAAAGAAAAUAUAUAAAAAUUAAUAAGAUUAUUGAUAAUAAAUCAUAUUGGCGAUCAUUAUCGAAGAUCUCAAAGUAUAAAUCUUCUUCGUAUUUCUUUUUUCUCUUUUUCUUUUUCUUUUUCUUUUUAAAUUAUUAAAUAUCAUAAAAUUAACAAGUUAUUUACGGAAUAAAUUAAGUUAAUGACCAUUUAUCGAAGAUUUAGAGAACUUGAGACAAUUUACUAAACAUUAUAAAGAUAAGAAGCGAUAGAGAGUAAAUUAUAUACGAUCAUAGGUACAAUUAUAAGACGUCUCAUUUUCGGAAUUAUAAAAACGUAGUAUCGCUGUUUGACUGCGAUGUCACUACAAAUUCAAAAUCUAUAAAAAGAAAGAGAGCCCUAUAGAGGCGACGCCACGGCCUAUUCAAUCAACAUUUCUUGUCCUCAAUAGUAGCAUAAUGUCGAGUAUGUAAGAAAAAAAAAAAAGAAGAAAAAGAAAGAAAAGAAAAAGUGAAGUAUUUGAAUUAGAUAAAGUAUCAAUUAACGAGAAGGACGGCAAAGAGUAAGAGGAAGAGAGGAAAGGAAGAGAAGGAAGAAUUUGGAAGUGAAAGUUAUUAAGACUUUGAGCGAGGAUCCUAAGGCAUAUAACUCUCUGGUGUGGACUUUAUAUCCCCAACUAGCCACACGUUGAUUCAGCUGGAUUAGUGAGGGCUCAAAGAAAAUGGUUAAGAGUGAGUUGUUACUAAAAUAUUCACGCUUAAGCAAUUGGCAAUUAGAAACGCAAUAGUAGUCUUAACCCAGAGAUCGAAACUACUAUGUAACACUACUAUGCCGUUACUGGCCACACCUUCCAAGAUACAGUAGUCAUCGAUGGUGGGAAUCUCCAAAUUGACUCCCAAAAGAAAGUUAACCGGGACCAGGUACCAAAAAGAUCUUACUAUUCUCCUCAACGCCAAUCGAAGUCGACUCAUCCGAGAACGGAUCACCGACAUUAACACAAAAAGUAUCAUUGAAAGCAGGAAGACAUCGAUUAUUUAUUGAUGAAUGAAGAAAGAUCACCGAUAAUAAUUUUAUUUUAAAUUAUAUACAAGGUUAUAAAAUUAAUUUUAAGCAGCCUGUUUUUCAGUUAAAAGAGCCAGUAAAUUUUAUAAAUUCGGCUCAGCAGUUAAGGGAUUGCAAGGAAGCUGUAGAUAUAUUGUUCAAAUUUGGGGUUAUUCAACCCUGUCAUAACAAAGAAAGCCAAUUUAUUUCCUUUUGUUUUUUAAUUUAGACAAAUCAAAUGGUAUAAAGAGAUUUAUACUAAAUUUUUAAAAAUUCAAAUUGUUUUAUUAAUACGGUGCACUUUAAGUUUGAGAAUAUUAAACUAAUAUCCAGAUUAAUCGCUUACGGAGAUUACAUGGCUAGUUCGGAUCUAGAAGACACGUAUUUUUUAAUUGCUAUCCAUAGUGGAAAUUUUUGAAAUUUUUGAGGUUUCAAUCGCAGCUUUAUGAGUUUUGUUGUUUACCAUUCGGUUUGGCUAUAGCGCCGCAUAUUUUCACAAAGAUUUUAAAACUUGCUUUAACUUUCUUCCAGUAUAUCUUGAUGACAUCUUAUGCAUCGGUUCCAGUUUUACAUCAUGUGAAGAAUAAUAUAUCAGCGACAAUUAAAUUGCUACAGUCUCUUGGUUUUAUUAUAAAUCAGAGAAAGAGUAUAUUAAUUCUAAGUAGGAAAUGUAAAUUCUUAGGAUUCUGCGUAAACUCAGAAAGAUUGACACUAGAGUUAUUUGAAGUAAAGCACGUUAAGAUUUUUUAAUUAAUUAAAGAAUUAAACAGAAGAAGAAAAUGUAAAGUUAAAGAAUUAGCUAAGUUUAUUGGAAAUUUAGUAGCAGCCUGCCCAAUGAUCAAAUAUAGAUGGCUUUAUAUAAAGCGGUUUGAAAGAGAGAAAUAUUUAGCUCUGUUAGUUACUGAUGACUAUUAUGAGACAUAGAUGAUUAUAUAAAAAAAACGAUUUAUUCAAACGCUUCAUUAACAAAGGGGAAUGCUCGUGCGAAGGCAAAGGUUUUGUUCAGCAGAGGAAAGUACUUUUCAUAUCAACUAUCUAGAACUAGUUGCAGUUUUUUUGGCCUUAAUGAUUUUUGCCAAUGAUUUUUUCCACUGCGACGUACUCCUGAGAAUGUAUAGUACUAGUGCAAUAUCCUACAUGAAUCGUAUGGUUGGGAUUCAAUAACCACACUUAAAUAAUCUAAUCAGAAAAAUAUGCUAAUGGUGAAACAAGAAAUAUAUGAAUUUUUGCAUCAUAUAUUUCAUCUAAGAAAAACGUCGAAAUAGAUAAGGAAUCAAGGUUAGACAAUAUCGAUACUAAAUGGGAACUUGCGGAUUAUGCCUCCACAAACAUUGUUCAAGCUUUCGUAACUCUAGAUAUUGAUUCAUUUGCUAUUAGAGUCAAUAUUAAAUGUAGAAUAUUUUAUUCUUGAUUUAAAGAUCCGAAAGGCUCCUAUGUGGAUACUUUUGCAUUAAGUUGGAAUAAUACAUUUUUUUAUGCGUUCCCUUCUUUUACUUUAAUACUGCGAGUUUUGCAGAAGAUUAUUGCAGAAAAGUCAGAGGGUAUCACAGUUAUCCCAUUCUGGAAGACUCAACUUUGGUUCCGUAUCUUUGAGUCCUUAUUGAUAGAGAAACCUGUCGUGUUGAAGCCUAAUAAACAGUUACUUUUAUCUCCUUGCAGACACAAUAACAUCCAUUGCUUCAGAAAUUGUCCUAGGUUGCCGGGAGAUUAUCAGGACAGCCUUCAGAAGGAAGAAUCUUUCACUUUAAACUUCUGAAAUAAUAUUAUCCUAAUCAGAGGGCACCUUAAACUAAUACUUCAAACCAAUAAACCCAUGCUGGAGAUUUUGCAUAAAAAAUGAAUCAGACCCAUAUGAGGUCCCAGAAUCUGGAUUAUUAGAAUUUCUAUUACUGAGGUUUGAGGCAGGAUCUUCCUACGGAACCUUAAAUUCAAUGCAAGUAGCUAUACCUUUGAUAUCCAAGUUUAUCGUCUAACAUAUUAAUCAACAGAUUUUCAUCUGAAAAAGCAUUCUCCCUCUCUCUCUCUCCUUCUCCCUCUUUCCCUCUCUCCCUUCCCCCCUCUCUCUCUUACUCUUUUACUCAUAUUAUCACAUAGCUAGCUAGUACCCACUUUUCACAAAGGUAAAUACAUCUAAGUAACAGAAACUACGAGAGAAGGUGGAGAAGGAGAUGGUGGUGCAGAUGUAGGUGAAGGAGGAAGAGGUGGUGAAAAUGUAUGUAUGUGGAGUAGGAGGAGGAAAGUGGAAAAGAGAAGGAGAGAGAGAAAUAGAGAGAAAAGUAUAAUUCGAAUACCAACUCAGAUGACAUAUUCGAUCCAGCCUCGCAUCCGUAUAUUUUGCAAAACCAGGUAGACGACACGUUCAAAAUUUCUCGAAACGAAUCUUAGGACGAAUACGUGUGACCAAAUUUGGAACUAAAAAUCUGAUAUCUUUGGUAAUGAAAGAAAAAGACAGUACUAAUUUAGAUAUCGAAUUUUUGAAUCUGCCUUAGAAUCACUUUUUCCAGUACCGGGAGAGCUUGAUCUACGAACAAUUAGCAUGUCAGAAACUAGCGAAAUUAAUGAUGUGCCAUGGGCAUACAUACAACAGAGUCUAGGAGAAAUAUUAUAUAUAAGAAUUUGGUAAAGACUCCCAUAAGGAUUUAAUACGUGAAAAUCACUCGUAAACUUUAGCAGGUCACAAGGGGAUAACAAGAACUACAAUAGAAUGAGACAGAAAUACUUGUGGGGAUGUAUAAAACAUCAGAUUCAAGUUUUCAUGCAAAAUCGCUUAGACUGCCAAUUGAAGGAAUUCGUUAGGGUCAACAUUUGAUAAAGUUGGGUUAGAUGUAAUGCGUCCUCUCUCUCAGACUUAGAAAGGAAAUAAAUAUAGCAUUACCUAUCAUAAUCACUACUUUUAUUGACAUAGCAAAUUUUAUGAUAGCAAAUUCGAAACACCACGCUCCAUCUUAUCGGAUCAGACCGCUAACUACUGGAAUUCUUUGAUAAAAGCGAUAGCACGCAAAUACAAAAUCAGACAGUAUAGGAAAUGCCGUUCUUUCCUUAAUCUAAUAGGUCUAUCAAGUUGUUGCAUCAAGUAUUAGUAGAAUAUCUGAAACAAUUUACUACCAGGGAAAAGGAUUGGGACGAAUGGCUAGACACUGCGAUGCUCUUGUACGACACGAGUGUUCAUAAGGGAACACGAUUUACAUCCUAUGAAUUCGUAUUCGGUAUGGUGACUCGGAUGCCGGCAUCUAAUCCGCCAUUAAACGAUGACAUGGAAAAUAUUCCAAAUAGCUGAAUACGGAGAAAUGCACGUGUAUCAAUUUCGUGUGGAGUUGGGCAGCUUCAUAUAGUAUAUUGUAAAGGUGAACACCCGAAAGGUGCCUGCUCCUAUGUUACCUCGCCCAUUAGGGCAUAUGCUACGGAGCUACCUACAGACAGCAGCCACCACAGCGAAGAGACCGGACUCGGAAAAAUCCAAAAUUCCUGCCGACGGGGCAGGAUGAGCGGUUUAGCCAUGACCAACAUCCUCGCAGCAACAAGUCACCACGCUGAUGCCGGCCGUGCCCACAGGGAACCAUGGGGAGGCCUACUUACAGUGUCACGAUCCUUGGCACUCGUUCCGUAGGAUGGGAUGGGAAAAGUUGGAUAGCAGAUUUAGGGGAGAGCGUUUGGUGGUGGGGAAAAAAAAAUGAUAAAAUAAAAAGAUAGUGAAAAAAAAUAGUACGAGCAUCUUCGAUCCUAUCCUGUUCGAGGAUGGGUUAACCUGAGAAGAUCCCAUCCCCAGAACUCUGACAAUUCCAUCUGAACAGGAUUCAUGAACUAAUAACCUUUAAUGAUGAGGGUUUCUUUGCAAAACUCCGCGAAGAGGGAGAAGGCCUCGGCCGUGGAGACAAGAUGUUUCGCUGCUUCCGGCCAACUCCUUUCACGGAGAAUUUCUUCCAGAGCCACUCUCUGGACUUCGAAAACCGGACAGUCGACGAAGUGAUGCAAAACCAUGUCCUCUUCACCACACUCGCAUGCUCCUUCCGUGAUGAUAUUCAGCGACGUCAGCUUGGCCUUGAAAGCUCCGUGUUCUGUAAGAAACUGCGAAAUGAAGUGGUUAGGAGAGACGAAACGGGCACCCAUCCUGUUCUUGAUGUCCGGGAAGAACGCGUAUGUUGUCCUUCCCUUGGAAGAAUUCUCUCAUCUAGUCUGCCAAUUCCUAAGGAUUUCCUCAUCGACCUGUAUUAUUAUCGCGCGUUUAAUCUUUGUGCCUUCCAGUUCCCGCGUCGCUGCCUCAGUGCUCCUAUUUUUCCUAAUAUCGUAUAAUCUUCUACGUUUCAAUAACUGAAGAUCAAUCGGAGGCUCCCCUGCUACGACGCAGAGGGAUUCCGUGGCGCUUGUACGAUACGCGAAUGUGACUGAGAUGAGGGCCGAUCGUUGGGUCGCGCUUAACCUCUUAACCUCCCCUUCCGUGUAGAGAUCGGACCAUCCUGCUGCCGCAUACGUAGUAAAGACGCCGCGAUAGAUCGCCCGGAGGGUGCAGUGACGGAGUCUCUAAUCCCUAGCUGCUAACCUACCUAGCUUUGCGAACAGUGGCUCGACCUUGUCAUUAAGGUAACGGCAGUGUGUCGUGAUCCCCAGCCCUUUAUCGAAGUAUACCCCGAGGUAUCUAACGGAAUUCCUAAAUUUAAUGUUAUUGUUCUUUAUCUUUUUGAUGGGAGGCCUACUCGCUAGGUCGGUCUUUUUCGCCGUUUUUCGCUUCCUAUCCGGACGUUGUCCUCCCCGUCUACCGAUAGGUUUCCUUUUCACCCAGUCGCUUUUAAGGACGAUCACUUCCGUUUUUCCGUUUUCACUCGGAGAUUGACAAUUUCGCCGACGUGCACCAUUCGGUGAUGCUGUUUAUCACAAGAUUUCCUUUCUCCUCGAGUUCUUCCCUGAAGUCUCCAUCUAUGACAACGAGUAGGUUUUCCGCGUACGCGAUCGUGUUGACUUCCGAGGAUUCCUCCAGUAUUUUGAGAAACUGAUCGAACAUGAGAUUCCAGCAGGAGGGAUCGAGCACCGAUCCUUGUGGGCAUCCUCUCGAGGCCUACUUUGAAACGUCAUACUCUCCCAGGGCGAUUUUGACUCUACGGUCCGCGAAGUAGCUUGUCAUCACGUUAAAGACAUUUCUCGGGCAGUCCCGAUCUUGGAGUGCCUUGAGAACUAGAGGCCACCAAACGUUGUCGAAGGCUCCCGUGAUGUCGAAUAACAACGCGAUCACAUAUCUCCGUGAGGAGACAGAAACGAUUCGACGCAUCUUUACGAUUACGUCUUCUGUGCAACGUCCCUGGACAAAUCCAAACUGUUUGUCAGAUAUUUUUCCUGGCGCGAGGGAGGUAUCGGUGAGGCGCAGCUUCAGCAGCCUUCCCAGAACUUUCCCUAUGACGGAGAGAAAGCAUAUUGGUCGGUAGGACUUGGGACAGCUUCAUAUAGCAUUGCGGGAUGGCAUCACACGUAUCAACCGUACAUAAUGGAAAAAAAAUAUUUCUAAUAAAUAUAAUCUUCGAAUUAUGUAAAGCGCUGCAUUCCGGUGCUUUACAUCGGAAUGUAAAAAAUCUACAUUCGACCCUCGAAGCUUACGAAAUCGAAAUUUACAGUAGAAAUAGAAUCUUACAGUCUGAAUUUUCCAAAUUCUAUUAGAGUUUUGUUAAUAUACUACGAGACAUACAAAUAUUGCGUGCAUUACACGCGAAUAGCAUUACUUCUAUCAAAUUGUAAUCGGGUAUUAAAUAAUAAUAAUUUUAUACGUAUUUUCUAAAUCUUUGUUAUUUAGAAAGUGAAAUGAAAAUUAUGUAACCUUUUUUAAUAGUUACAUUAAAAAUUUUUAUUAUUAAUUGAGUGUAAUACUUCGACAACCAUCACUACCAUCUUCCGACUUACUUCCUUCUGGAUCACCUCAUUGUCAAAUUUAUUUUUCAAUAAAUAACCAUUUCCAGACAGAACAGGCUUCAAGACAGGAACAAUUCGUAAACUGUUGUUACCAAUUUGAAAGUUAAUUUUAAAGGUGAGCCGUGUUGCCAACCAGUAACAUUGCCAGGAAAGGGUAAGUAUUUUAAGAAAUACCAAAAUUUAAAAUACCAGUCCUGGAUAGCUGAAUCCUUUGAGAACCAUUCAUACUUAGUAUUCUGUGCUACUCUUCUCGUUACUCUCUGCAGAUUCACUAGGCUUUCAUCAUUAUUCCUGAUUUCAUCUAUUCAAGAUAAUCCUUCCGUUGUUCUCAUUCUCAGUCACAUUCGUGCAUACGAAUUCGGUAAUUCCUAUUGCUCUUUGUCCUAUUUAUUUAUUUUACCUAUACCUAUUUCAUUAUUUCGUUUAUGACAAACACAACUAAGUAACGCUAGAACCUUCAAACUCACACUCGGCCAUUCUGCACGUACAUUCGUCCUUGAAUGCUUUUUUUUCAUGUUCGUCUAACGUCUUAGUGUCUUUAUAUUUUUCCUUCAAAUUACCUGCCAUCAAUUGGCUACACUUUGUCGACAUGUUGUUUUACAUUUGACUUUGCACUUUGUAAUAUCUUAUUAUCUAUCUCACUUAUUCCUUCACAUACAUUCAUCGUACUCCGAGUUACAAUAAUAUUUAUUUUAUAUUAUAUACUUAGCAAUUCUUGCUGCCCUUUUUCUUUUCUUUUCAUAAUAUUCAAAUUGUUGUUGUUCCUCUUCUUCGAUUCUUGUACUUUUCUACUCAAAAAUACAUGAAGAUGUAAAUUAUCCGAUAGCUUGUAUAGUUUCUUGUUCAUAGAUAAUUUCUCUGGUAACUUCGAAACAUCAUCGUCAACUUCAUCAUCCUGUUCUUCGUUUGAACUUUGAUGACCAAAUGAUUUCUCAGUUUGCCUUGCCUGAUCAACGAUCUUAUCUGUGAUGACUUCAGCAUCUGCCGUAGGACUUGUCUGUUAAGUUAUAUUCAUGUUUACGUUCGUAUUCAAUAUAACUGGUCUAUGCAAUAAAUCCAUAGGUUUUUCUAACAAAAUCAAUUAAUCUUCCGCUGUAUAAACCAUUCUCGUAUUUUGCAAAGUCUUCUAUAUUUGACGAUUCGGACUUCUUGCGAUAGUUUUGUCUGUGAGUGUCUUGGCAAUCGAUCAUCUUGUUAUUAUUGAUAUCGGAAUCAGUAACCGAACUAUUCUCUCGAUCUAAAUCGUCUAAUUCCAAGAUACGUUCACUGACCUCCUUUCUUUCAUCGACCAUCAAUGGAUAAUCGGACAUCUCGGACUACGAUUUCUCAUCGUCGUAUAAUAUACGUGCGAA
This is a long non-coding RNA of Vespa mandarinia (Asian giant hornet), 9546 nucleotides long. The record is from RefSeq and is a predicted model, not a curated record. NCBI's taxonomy places the organism in Eukaryota, Metazoa, Arthropoda, Insecta, Hymenoptera, Vespidae.